AAUAGCUAUUUUUUUCUGAUCCUUGGCCUCUUCCCACCCUCCACCCACAAGUAGGCCCUAGGGUCUAUUGUUUCCUUCGUGAUGUCCAUUAGUUCUCAUAAUUUAGCACCCAAUUCUAAGUAAGAAAAUAUGGUAUUUGGUUUUCUGUUCCUGUGUUAGUCUGCUGAGGAUUAUGACCUCUAGCUCCAAUCAUGUCCUUUAAA
Sapajus apella (tufted capuchin) is the source of this 203-nucleotide long non-coding RNA. RefSeq lists it as uncharacterized. The transcript has 3 exons. The record is from RefSeq and is a predicted model, not a curated record. NCBI's taxonomy places the organism in Eukaryota, Metazoa, Chordata, Mammalia, Primates, Cebidae.